GACGAACGCUGGCGGCGUGCUUAACACAUGCAAGUCGAACGGAAAGGCCCUGCUUUUGUGGGGUGCUCGAGUGGCGAACGGGUGAGUAACACGUGAGUAACCUGCCCUUGACUUUGGGAUAACUUCAGGAAACUGGGGCUAAUACCGGAUAGGAGCUCCUGCUGCAUGGUGGGGGUUGGAAAGUUUCGGCGGUUGGGGAUGGACUCGCGGCUUAUCAGCUUGUUGGUGGGGUAGUGGCUUACCAAGGCUUUGACGGGUAGCCGGCCUGAGGGGGUGACCGGCCACAUUGGGACUGAGAUACGGCCCAGACUCCUACGGGAGGCAGCAGUGGGGAAUAUUGCACAAUGGGCGGAAGCCGGAGGCAGCAACGCCGCGUGCGGGAGGACGGCCUCGGGUUGUAAACCGCUUUCGCCUGUGACGAAGCGUGAGUGACGGUAAUGGGUAAAGAAGCACCGGCUAACUACGUG
RNAcentral lists this ribosomal RNA (467 nucleotides) under uncultured bacterium. RNAcentral's name for it is "partial 16S ribosomal RNA". It matches the Rfam family "Bacterial small subunit ribosomal RNA", at positions 28 to 507 of the family's 1533-position model. The record is from RNAcentral.